CAGAGCUACAGGAGCUUCUUAAUGCUGGCCAAAAACAGAUAAAUAAUCAGAUAAACAAUGAGGAGAUAGUAUCAAAUGGUUCUGUUGAGGCUUAGGGUUGAAAUGGGAGAAGACGAGACCUGAACCGCGCAUUUCUAAACUAUUUGUUAAACCAUCAACAUCACACAGACACACUUUGGAUUAUAUUAUGUAUUUUUGUUGAUGAACAUCGUAUGUACAUGUUGUAUAUCGUUAAAACUGUACAACGUAUUGCACAAAAGAAUCAAUGAACUAUAUGGAAAGAAUAUUUUACGGCUAAGAAACUGUAACUUUUACAACUGAUUGUGAUCUAUAUAUUUUGUCAAUAUCAAGCUAUAGUAGAUAUUUUAAAACAUUUUUACAUUCGCUGUCAAUAUCUAAAUAAUCCUAAUUUGUACAAGUGGAUUUUUCAUCUUCUGUUUUAUUAUAAAAAUAAUUGUUAUUUUGCCAUAUCAUUUUGGUAUCAGUUUUAUUUUUUUUUUUGAGAUUUCAGUUUUUGUCUCAUAUUUUUAUUUGUUAAUUGCAAUACAAUGGAGACAUAUUUAUGUUUUUGUAACCCUCCAUUGUUUUCCUGCCAUCUCUCUGUUCAUAAUUUCCCGCAUUUCUGUUCCUUUUUUCCCGCAUUUCUGUUCCUUUUUUCCCGCAUUUUCUGUUCCUUUUUUCCUGCAUUUUCCCGAUCUUUUUUUCUCCAUUCUCGGUCGAAAGUGUCCCUCUAAUAGAACACAGUUCCUAUUUGUUACCUAAUUAAAAUCUGGAACCAGUGUUAUUGUUUUAAUUGUUCAAUAUAAUAAUUAUGUGUGAUUAAAUAAAUUUAGUUUGGGGUGUAAAAAUCAUUCUUUUUAUUUAUAUGCAAUGUAUAGCAAUCAUCCCAUGUUUUCAGAGAAAAUGGUUGAAUAGUUGGAAUUUGGAGCUAAUUAGUCGAUAGUAUGGUUUUGCUCUGCUGUGUGAAUUUUGUUCCAUAAAUUUAUUGGAACCUAGGAUUGUAUAUUCUUGUUGGUUUCAUGUUCUGUAGAUUGUCAAAGAAUAUUAACCAGCGCGUACUCUGUUGAAAAAAUUACUUUACUUUAAAUACGACAUAAUUUAUUUUAAGAUAAAAUUAUUGAAUUUGAAAAUUAUUUUGUCUCAAUAGUUAGCCUCGAGGUAUUUAAUUUGAAUGUCCAUGUCGUGUCAACCUAAUUUUGUCCAAUAUAGUUUAAAGUAUUGAUCUCUUCUACCUGCCCCCCCCACUACAUAGCUCUGCCUAGAGAGUAUGGAUCAGCUGGUUUAAAGAACUAGCUCUUAAUGGUCUGUCUCCACUAUACACGUAGAUUAAUAUUAGAUUAUUUGAAAUAGAUACACUUCUCGUUGUUUUAUGAAAUAUCUUGUUUGGAAAUAGAAAAGACGCGUUUUGUGAUAAUCUUUAUAGUGAACUUACAGUAAAUGUUACUAAAACGGUAAAUAUUAGCCGGUUAUAGCAUAUUCACAAUCAAAACGUAAAAUAAUAAACAAAUAUGCGAUACACAAACAUUUGUAAACUAAGCGUUUUUCAUCUCGACUUUUAAUACUUUAUCUGUGAUCAUGUUCCUUUUGUACUAUUUAAAACAAGAACAAAAAAGUUCUGAUAUAAUAAUAUUUUUUUUGUUGAAUUUUUCAAUCAUUUAAAACUUUUCCAACACAUUUUUUUGUAAUUUUAUAAACUAUAAUCUAUAAACCCUUCCUGGGGCCCGAUUGGGUUUAUUGGAAACAAGAGGACAGACAAAAAGUUAAUAGACAAGCAAAGUACGUAUAUAUAGACAACUUUAAAAAUCUGAUAAUAAUUUCAGAAACUCGAGAUAAGUGUACACUGUACAGUGUACAUAGAUACAAGUGUGUAUACACCGUACAGAGGAAAUAUGAGUACUGUGCCUAUAGUUCCUGAGGAUGUACAGGGUGAUGACAAGUGGAUGUCUAUGCAUCGUCGAUUCCUGCAGGAUGCUCGGGACGCGGAGCCGGAGGUUUUAUGGAUAGGGGACUCCUUGAUACAGAAUCUGUGUUUGAGCAAAAUUUGGGAAAAAAGCUUCUGUGCUAUGCAUUCCCUCAACUUUGGUAUUGGAGGAGAUAGAACAGAACAUGUUCUAUGGAGAUUAGAGAACGGAGAACUAGAGAAUAUAUCGCCGAAGAUUGUUGUUGUACUGGUAGGAACUAAUAAUCACGGAGAUACUCCUGAACAGAUUGCAGAGGGGCUCAAGGUGAUUUGUACUGUUAUUCGAGACCGUCAACCACAAUCCUUCGUUCUUCUUCUGAGUUUGUUACCCCGAGGACACCAACCCAACUCCUUAAGGGAUAGGAAUAAGGCUGUGAAUGGUAUAAUGGAAGAGUAUGUGAAGGGAAACAGUAAACUACAGUUUGUAAAUAUAGAUACAGGCUUUAUACAGGCUGACAAAUCCAUAUCACACCACGACAUGUACGAUUACCUCCACCUUACGCAGAAAGGAUAUUCUAUGGCAUUUGAACCCGUGAACGAGCUACUGAUCCAACUACUGCAGGAGAUGGAGGGAGAAGUUGAACGGCCUGAAACCGAGGGGUGUGCAGAUUAAAUGACAUGAUAAAUAGUGAAUACUGACGACCUACAAGAUGUAACAAAAUCCCCGAAACGCUAGCUUUAUGUACAGUGUACACGCAGAGCCCUUUUUCAAACUUGCAUUUUUUAUUUUUGUAUUUUUUAGUUAUUAUCAUUAUUGUAAUUUUAAUCUCAAUUCUUGCAUAGUAUUAUUUAAAGUUCUAUUUUUUGUCCAGAAAAAUAUGAUAUUAGUUACCUUUUCAUUUCUGACCAAAAAAAAACCCUUUUCAAAGAAUUAAUACAAUUAUUUAUAAUAUUAAAAACACUCCAAUUUAUGUAAUUAAUACUAGUGUACAAUAAAUCCAUUUCUUGACCCAAAAAUUCUUCAUUUCUUAUUUUCUAACAAAAUGUAAAUUACAAGAUUUUGCAUUAAUUUUGCAUAGCAUUUGCGUUUGGCAAAUUUUCUUACGAUUUUUUUGUUUUAAUAGAGCUUCAUUACCCCAAUAGUGAAAUAAUGAAUCUGAAUUUUUGUGUGUUUUGGUAUCAAUCUCAUAAAGUAAAUAUGGAGGAUUUGUACACAGUAUCCUUUAGAAGAGAUUGGACACUGUACACUGUACAGUGUACAGUGUACACACUUGUAUUUACAUUAUGUACAACACUUAAAGAACUAGUAAAUUAGUACAAAAACUACAUCUCAUCUCACUAUUGCAAUGCUUUAAUCUAUGUUUACAUUGAUGUGUUGCUUUAAGCUAAACUCCACCGCAAUACUACAUAUUUUGUGGUGCCAGUUUCAUACGAGUCCAAAAACCUUAAAACUCUAUAGGGAAAGGAACCAAGUCAUUUUCCAUCACUAGGUGUAGCCUAUAAUUGCAUUUUUAGUGAAAUAUUGAACUUCACUCCUUUGCCUCAAAUGAUUCAUGAAUGUCAGUUUUCUUUGAUGGAUACAUUUUCUUUUUCGUGAAAUAGAAUACAAAAUUAUUGGAUCUCAACAACUCAGACGAGUGAGAAAAUAACCACAAUUGUUUUAUUUUCACAAGUCUCACGUUGAUCAUCAAUUUAAGAUAAAAUCGACCAUGGCAGCGCAAUUAAUGUUAAAAUAUGUAAUUGUAAACUUGUAAAAAAAACUGUACCGUACAACCCUUAGUAUGUAUGUAUGUACACAAAACUGUACCGUACUACCCUUAUUAUGUAUUUAUGUACACAAAACUGUACCGUACAACCCUAAUGUAUUUAUGUACACUGCUGUAGUGUUACAAUAAAGCUUCUUCNAA
RNAcentral lists this unclassified non-coding RNA (3807 nucleotides) under Eurytemora carolleeae. RNAcentral's name for it is "platelet-activating factor acetylhydrolase IB subunit gamma". Lineage: Eukaryota; Metazoa; Arthropoda; Copepoda; Calanoida; Temoridae. The record is from RNAcentral.